Molecule: ribosomal RNA, 250 nt
Filed under: uncultured delta proteobacterium
Lineage: Bacteria; Deltaproteobacteria
Also listed under: 1 other name
Description: partial 16S ribosomal RNA
Rfam family: Bacterial small subunit ribosomal RNA
Source: RNAcentral
UACGAAGGGUGCAAACGUUGCUCGGAAUCAUUGGGCGUAAAGCGCACGUAGGCGGCUUCGCAAGUCGGAUGUGAAAUCCCACGGCUCAACCAUGGACGUGCAUUCGAAACUGCGGAGCUUGAGUAUGGAAGAGGGUCGCGGAAUUCCCGGUGUAGAGGUGAAAUUCGUAGAUAUCGGGAGGAACACCAGUGGCGAAGGCGGCGACCUGGGCCAAUACUGACGCUGAGGUGCGAAAGCGUGGGGAGCAAAC